Molecule: long non-coding RNA, 846 nt
Filed under: Zonotrichia albicollis (white-throated sparrow)
Lineage: Eukaryota; Metazoa; Chordata; Aves; Passeriformes; Passerellidae
Description: lncRNA (ENSZALG00000007164.1)
Source: RNAcentral
UGGGAAUGGUGGGAAUGUGGGAAUGGUGGGAUUGGGAAUGGUGGGAAUGGUGGGAAUGGUGGGAAUGGUGGGAAUGGUGGGAAUGGUGGGAAUGGGAAUGGGGGAAUGGGAAUGGUGGGAAUAAAGGGAAUGGGAAUGGUGGGAAUGGUGGGAAUGUGGGAAUGGGAAUGGGGGAAUAGGAAUGGUGGGAGUGGUGGGAAUAAUGCGAUUGGGAAUGAUGGGAUUUCAUGGUCCAGGAGUAGUUGGACCAGGGGCAGGGAGUCGUCGAUGCAGCUCUGGGAAUGUAGGAAUGGGAAUGGUGGGAAUGUGGCAAUGUGGGAAUGGGAUUGGGAAUGGUGGGAUUGGGAAUGAUGGGAUUGGGAAUGAUGGGAUUGGGAAUGAUGGGAUUGGGAUUUCAUGGUCCAGGAGGAGACGGACCAGGGGAAUCGUCAAUGCAGCUCUGGGAAUGUGGGAAUGGUAGGAAUGCUGGGAAUGGUGGGAAUGGGAUGGGAAUGGGAUUGGGAAUAAUGGGAAUGGGAAUGGUGAGAAUGUGGGAAUGGUGGGAAUAAUGGGAUUGGGAAUGAUGGGAUUGGGAUUUCAUGGUCCAGGAGCAGCCAGACCAGGGGCAGGGAGUCAUCAAUGCAGCUCUGGGAAUGGGAAUGGUGGGAAUGGGAAUGGGAUUGGGGGGAUUAGGAAUGAUGGGAAUGGGAUUGGGAAUGAUGGGAAUGGUGGGAUUGGGAUUGGGGAAUUAGGAAUGGUGGGACUGGGAUUGGGAUUGGGGGGGAUUAGGAAUGGUGGGAAUGGGAUUGGGAAUGAUAGGUUUGGGAAUGGUGGGAUUUGGAAUAAUGCGAAUGAUGGGACUGGGAU